UAUACUUUAGUAUAAAAUGUAUAGGAGUUUUUGAUACUUCAGGAGAUGGGAUGUAUCCAUUAAGUGUAA
RNAcentral lists this transfer RNA (69 nucleotides) under Dendroctonus valens (red turpentine beetle). RNAcentral describes it as "tRNA-Gln". Lineage: Eukaryota; Metazoa; Arthropoda; Insecta; Coleoptera; Curculionidae. The record is from RNAcentral.